This 199-nucleotide ribosomal RNA is filed under the name Candidatus Moraniibacteriota bacterium. Its description in RNAcentral is "partial 16S ribosomal RNA". It matches the Rfam family "Bacterial small subunit ribosomal RNA", at positions 1333 to 1533 of the family's 1533-position model. Lineage: Bacteria; Candidatus Moraniibacteriota. The record is from RNAcentral.
CACUAGUAAUCGGGAAUCAGCCACGUCCCGGUGAAUACGUUCUCGGAUCUUGUACUCACCGCCCGUCACACCAAGAGAGUCGGUAACACCCGAAGACCCCGCAUCAAACCGGGGGCUACGGUGGGAUCGAUGAUAAGGGUGAAGUCGUAACAAGGCAUCGGUAGCGGAAGCUGUCGAUGGAUCACCUCCUUUCUAGGGA